ACGUGGAGAGAUUCACGGUCCACUUCGGUGGCGCGCACACAGGUGCUGCAUGGCUGUCGUCAGCUCGUGUCGUGAGAUGUUGGGUUAAGUCCCGCAACGAGCGCAACCACGUCCUUAGUUGCCAUCAUUCAGUUGGGCACUCUAGGGAGACUGCCGGUGAUAAGCCGCGAGGAAGGUGUGGAUGACGUCAAGUCCUCAUGGCCCUUACGGGAUGGGCUACACACGUGCUACAAUGGCGGUGACAGUGGGAGGCGAAGGAGCGAUCUGGAGCAAAUCCCCAAAAGCCGUCUCAGUUCGGAUUGCACUCUGCAACUCGAGUGCAUGAAGGCGGAAUCGCUAGUAAUCGUGGAUCAGCAUGCCACGGUGAAUACGUUCCCGGGCCUUGUACACACCGCCCGUCACACCAUGGGAGUUGGUCUUACCCGACGGCGCUGCGCCAACCGCAAGGGGGCAGGCGACCACGGUAGGGUCAGCGACUGGGGUGAAGUCGUAACAAGGUAAGCGUAGACGU
Molecule: ribosomal RNA, 511 nt
Filed under: uncultured bacterium
Lineage: Bacteria
Description: bacterial SSU rRNA
Rfam family: Bacterial small subunit ribosomal RNA
Source: RNAcentral